UACAGAGGGUGCAAGCGUUGUUCGGAAUUACUGGGCGUAAAGCGCGUGUAGGCGGUUUUUCAAGUCCUGUGUGAAAGCCCUGGGCUCAACCCAGGAAGUGCGCAGGAUACUGGAUGACUGGAGUGGCGGAGAGGAUGGCGGAAUUCCCGGUGUAGAGGUGAAAUUCGUAGAUAUCGGGAGGAACACCUGUGGCGAAGGCGGCCAUCUGGACGUUCACUGACGCUGAGACGCGAAAGCGUGGGUAGCAAACAGG
RNAcentral lists this ribosomal RNA (253 nucleotides) under uncultured bacterium. RNAcentral's name for it is "partial 16S ribosomal RNA". It matches the Rfam family "Bacterial small subunit ribosomal RNA", at positions 524 to 776 of the family's 1533-position model. The record is from RNAcentral. RNAcentral also lists the same sequence under 1 other name.